Molecule: unclassified non-coding RNA, 452 nt
Filed under: Hevea brasiliensis (rubber tree)
Lineage: Eukaryota; Viridiplantae; Streptophyta; Magnoliopsida; Malpighiales; Euphorbiaceae
Source: RNAcentral
GGAAUACUGAAAUUGGCUAUGGAGCCAUCACUGCUGGGGACUGCUCUGAUGGAAGGUGGCCCAGACAGGAAGAUCAAGCUUGAUAGAAGUCCUGGGGUUGAUGAGUUAUAUAUUGAAGGUUACCUGCAAGCUAUGUUGGAUACUAGGCAGGCGUAUCUGAGAGUCAGAGUGAUAGACGAUCAGGUGCUCCUCAAAAACCUACCCCCCAACAGUGCCCUCAUAGAUGAGAUCGUGGAUCAUGUGAAAGGGUUCCUUGUAAGCAAGGCAUUGUUAAAAGGAGAUCCUUCAGCAUCUUCUUACCCUCUGCGUCAUCUUCAACGAGAAAGUGAAUGGAAAAUAGGACCAACUCUGAUCACAUUGUGUGAACACCUCUUUGUGAGUUUUGCAAUUCGGAUGCUGAGAAAGCAAACUGGUAAGCUUAUGGCCAAUAUCAAGUGGAAGAAAGAAUCAGA